This 450-nucleotide ribosomal RNA is filed under the name uncultured bacterium. Its description in RNAcentral is "bacterial SSU rRNA". It matches the Rfam family "Bacterial small subunit ribosomal RNA", at positions 354 to 796 of the family's 1533-position model. The record is from RNAcentral.
GUGGGGAAUAUUGGACAAUGGGCGAAAGCCUGAUCCAGCCAUGCCGCGUGUGUGAAGAAGGUCUUCGGAUUGUAAAGCACUUUAAGUUGGGAGGAAGGGCAGUAAGUUAAUACCUUGCUGUUUUGACGUUACCGACAGAAUAAGCACCGGCUAACUUCGUGCCAGCAGCCGCGGUAAUACGAAGGGUGCAAGCGUUAAUCGGAAUUACUGGGCGUAAAGCGCGCGUAGGUGGUUUUGUAAGUUGGAGGUGAAAUCCCCGGGCUCAACCUGGGAACUGACUCCAAAAAUGCAUGACUAGAGUACGGUAGAGGGUAGUGGAAUUUCCUGUGUAGCGGUGAAAUGCGUAGAUAUAGGAAGGAACACCAGUGGCGAAGGCGACUACCUGGACUGAUACUGACACUGAGGUGCGAAAGCGUGGGGAGCAAACAGGAUUAGAAACCCCGGUAGUCC